GGUAACGUGGCCGAGCGGUCCAAGGCGCUAGUUUCAGGUUUUGCUUUGGUGACCCCCAUUUACUAGUCUCGCAAGAGGCGUGAGUUCGAAUCUCACCGUUGCCA
Transfer RNA from Sphaerobolus stellatus SS14, 104 nucleotides. It matches the Rfam family "tRNA". From Rfam's summary of the family: Transfer RNA (tRNA) molecules are approximately 80 nucleotides in length. Their secondary structure includes four short double-helical elements and three loops (D, anti-codon, and T loops). The record is from Rfam. NCBI's taxonomy places the organism in Eukaryota, Fungi, Basidiomycota, Agaricomycetes, Geastrales, Sphaerobolaceae.